This 253-nucleotide ribosomal RNA is filed under the name uncultured bacterium. RNAcentral's name for it is "partial 16S ribosomal RNA". It matches the Rfam family "Bacterial small subunit ribosomal RNA", at positions 524 to 776 of the family's 1533-position model. The record is from RNAcentral.
UACGAAGGGGGCUAGCGUUGCUCGGAAUUACUGGGCGUAAAGGGCGCGUAGGCGGCUUGGUCAGUCAGGCGUGAAAUUCCUGGGCUUAACCUGGGGACUGCGUUUGAUACGGCCAGGCUUGAGGAUGGAAGAGGGUCGCGGAAUUCCCAGUGUAGAGGUGAAAUUCGUAGAUAUUGGGAAGAACACCGGUGGCGAAGGCGGCGACCUGGUCCAUUACUGACGCUGAGGCGCGACAGCGUGGGGAGCAAACAGG